AAAGAUUAGACCCAAUAGCAUUCAACUCUUUGUCAUCAACAUGCUUCACGUGUAAAUUCAAAGGACCUAUGGAAUAAACUGGAGGCAAAAUGGACGAGAACGCUUCCAAAACAUCGUGCUCUAAGGCAUCAAACGUGUUCAAAAUUAUUGCAGAAGCUCUUCGAGCCCUCCCACACUCCCACUGUAUGAAAUCAAGCAUGAACUCAUCUGGAUUUGUGGUCCUAACGAAACUGGGAAUAUCCUUCAAUCGAAUUUCCUUAAUG
Molecule: unclassified non-coding RNA, 263 nt
Filed under: uncultured bacterium
Lineage: Bacteria
Description: contains 16S-23S intergenic spacer region
Source: RNAcentral